Molecule: unclassified non-coding RNA, 1685 nt
Filed under: Hevea brasiliensis (rubber tree)
Lineage: Eukaryota; Viridiplantae; Streptophyta; Magnoliopsida; Malpighiales; Euphorbiaceae
Source: RNAcentral
UUGAAAAUGUAAAACAGCGGUGCUUGCCAAAUGCUUUAAAUUAUCCAAUGUUGGAGGAGUAUGACUUUAGAAAUGAUACUGUCAAUCCUGAUCUUGACAUGGAACUGAAGCCUCAUGCACAACCACGACCAUAUCAAGAAAAGAGCCUUAGUAAAAUGUUUGGAAAUGGUAGAGCAAGAUCUGGCAUCAUUGUACUACCAUGUGGUGCUGGAAAGUCCUUAGUUGGUGUUUCUGCAGCAUGCCAAAUAAAGAAAAGUUGCCUUCGUUUAGAAUAAAUGCUGUGUCUGGAUCAGUGGGCCUUUCAGUUCCAGCUCUGGUCUACCAUCCAAGAGGAACAAAUGUGUCAAUUCACAUCUGAUAGGAAAGAAAGAUUCAAGGUAAUGCUGGGGUUGUUGUGACAACGUGUAACAUGGUUGCUUUUGGUGGUAAACGAUCUGAUGAAUCUGAGAAAAAAAUAUUGAAUAAGUAAGAAAUAGAGGAUGGGAACUGCUUCUAACGGUUGAGGUCCUGGUUAUUGCUCAUGCGUUUUGUAAAGUUAUUAGCUCAUUACUGCAAACUUGGGCUUACUGGAUAUUCCAACUGCAGCCACACUUGUAAGAGAGGAUGAAAGAAUUGCAGAUUUGAACUUCCUUUGUUGGUUCCAUAUGAAGCAAACUGGUAGGAUCUGGUGAAAGGAUGAUUUAUUGCAAAUGUACAGUGUGCUAAAGGCACCAGAUGUGAUGAACCCAAAUAAGCUUACAGCACGCAAGUUUCUGAUACGAUUACAUGAGCAUAGUGAUAAGAUAAUUGUGUUUUCUCCCAAUCUCUUUGCACUUAUGGAGUAUCAAGUAUGCAAUGAAACUUCACAAACCUAUGAUUUAUGGUGCUAGCAGCCAUGCUGAGAGGACAAAAAUUCUUCAGGCUUAAAAAACUAGCAAGUAUCUUUCCGUCAAAUGUAUUCUGAUGAAAAGUAUUAUAUGGUGGGUGAUAAUUCAACAGUUAUUCCUGAGGCAAAUGUGAUCAUUCAGAUUUUGUCACAUGCUGUUAUCCUAGGGCAAAUGUGACAAAAAGCCCAACGAUGAGGGUGUAUUCUUGGGGCAAAGGGUAAACUGCAAGAUAGGAUGGCUGGUGGCAAAGAACAGUACAAUGCAUUUUUCUAUUCCCAUGUUUCUACUGAUGCACAGGAAAUGUACUAAACCAAAAAGGCAGCAGUUUUUUAUUUGACCAGGGUUACGUCUUUAAUGUACAUCAGGGUUGCAACUGGCAGACUUGGAUCUCAUAUCUGUGCAAUUUACUUGUGAUGUAUGUAAUUCCUUUGACAGUUGAUAACUAGCCUGCCUCUGCCUGAUUCUGGUGCUGAUUUGAACUACUACCAUCUUGAUGAGCAAUUGGCACUCUCCGUGAAGGUUUCGAAUGCUGGCAAUGAUGCUGUUGGCUUUUAGAGCAGCUGCAAGAAUACGCAGAUGACAUAGCCUUCAUAAAGCACGUCGCUCCAUAGCUUCACUAUGUCAGUUGCAAAAGGGAUUGUUUAUAUGGAAUACAGGUCUGGUAUCUCAUUAUUUUAUUGCAUGUGGAGAACUUCAGAUGUCUUGCUUCUGGUUAGGCUACAUGGGUUUUAGACCAUUAAGAACAGUUUCUUGUCUUGCUUAUUUUUGUUUCCUCUCUCUGCAUGGAACUUGUCCUUUUGCUUCCACACUGCACUUAUC